Molecule: ribosomal RNA, 253 nt
Filed under: uncultured bacterium
Lineage: Bacteria
Description: partial 16S ribosomal RNA
Rfam family: Bacterial small subunit ribosomal RNA
Source: RNAcentral
UACGGAAGGGGCAAGCGUUGUUCGGAAUUAUUGGGCGUAAAGGGCGCGCAGGUGGCUCUAUGUGUCUGCUGUAAAAGCACACGGCUCAACCGUGUCGGGUCGGUGGAAACUGUAGAGCUUGAGGCUGGGAGGGGCUAGUGGAAUUUCCAGUGUAGAGGUGAAAUUCGUAGAUAUUGGAAAGAACACCGGUGGCGAAGGCGGCGACCUGGUCCUUGACUGACGCUGAGGCGCGAAAGCGUGGGGAGCAAACAGG